This is a long non-coding RNA of Folsomia candida, 1113 nucleotides long. RefSeq lists it as uncharacterized. The record is from RefSeq and is a predicted model, not a curated record. The transcript has 3 exons. NCBI's taxonomy places the organism in Eukaryota, Metazoa, Arthropoda, Collembola, Entomobryomorpha, Isotomidae.
AUAUAUGUACAUAUAUGCAUUAUUUUUUAACACUGACACUGACACUGUAUCACAAUCCAGACAUUUAUCAAUCAAAGCACAAACACCGCCCGUCCAAUUAAGUCUAAUAAAUUAUUACAAGAUUCACGAUAAGCGUGGGGUCGACAGGGUCAGAUUCAGAUCCACGUUGUGUAAUGUUUAAUAAAGAUAAGGUGUAAACAAAGGUAGGUGAAUCAGUAUUUAGUGUGAAAUUUAACCGGUGUUAUAAUUUGAUAAAACUUCUGUUUUUACAUAAAACUUUGGUAAUUGUUAUAAAAUCUGUGUAUAAAUUGUAAAUUCUUGGAAAAUUUUAACCGGAGGAGCGACCACUUAAAAUACAGAUUUUUCGGCAAGUCUCUAAUGACCAAAUGGUGCAAUGUUGGCUGGACUGGUGGACCGGACUGGAUCAUCUCCUCGUCUCAUGAAAGAUGAAAAGUCGCUUUAAAUGCAUCCCUAGAUUUUUUGCCAUAAUUAAGUUCAUAGACUUCCAACAGGUGUUACAAUACAAAGAAGACCAGCGAACAUUGCGAUAUUGGUUUCACAAGUUCUCGAUCUCAUCUCAUGUCAAAAUCUGACUUUAACACUUUUAUGUUCAUGGAAUCUAUGCAGACUGGAAUAUCCCCUCCGGUCUGGGUCGUAAUUUAUACGUGGAUUUUACAAUGAUUCUUCAAAAUGUUAUGUAACGUAAUUUGCAAAAUUCAGUCAGAUUAUGCGCAAGCGAAGUUGUCCCUAUCAAACCAACUCGUACGACUAAAAGGAUAAUUUCGCAAUUUUAUAACACACACAACCAACCAGGAUGAUUUUGCAGCAAGUGAGAUUUUUGCAAGUGGGGUUGAAAAACACCCGCCCGCGGUGGUCUUACCCGACUUCUGAUGCCCGAAUCGGAUUCGGAACAUGAGCAUUUUUGCAAUAUGCCAAAAGAUGGGUAUAUUUGAUAGUCAAGUAGGAACUGGAAUUUACUGACUGGACGGAAGAGAAAGUCUGGUAGUUGAAGUUGAAUAGUUAUCAAUUCAGCAAAUUUGCACAUAGAACACAAAAUUGUCUCUUAUCUUUAACUUUAUUUAAGUAAUUACAGAGUUAUAUACAAAGAAAUAA